GUGUUAGCUUCAGCAGCACAGACACUAAAAUUGGAAUGAUAAGAAGAAGAUUAGCAGGGCCCCUGGGCAAGGAUGACACUCAGAGUCCCUUGAAGCAUUCCAAAAGGGA
Small nuclear RNA from Myodes glareolus (Bank vole), 109 nucleotides. Lineage: Eukaryota; Metazoa; Chordata; Mammalia; Rodentia; Cricetidae. The record is from RefSeq and is a predicted model, not a curated record.